AAAUGGCGACUCCGCUGGGGAUCAUUUAGAGGGCCAAGCUUGAACUUAUGAUGAAGCAAAUGUGACAUUUGAUUGGUCGAUCAGUAGGUACCUACCUCUUGAUUGCAUUGAGAGCUCUCGAUAUCAUUGGAUGCAUGCUUGGAUAUUGUAUUUAUUUGAGAUAUUGACAUGCUAAUUAUGAUGAUUGAUUAUCUUGAUUGAGG
Molecule: long non-coding RNA, 203 nt
Filed under: Vitis vinifera (wine grape)
Lineage: Eukaryota; Viridiplantae; Streptophyta; Magnoliopsida; Vitales; Vitaceae
Description: long non-coding RNA (VVIN_LNC000246)
Source: RNAcentral